Molecule: ribosomal RNA, 253 nt
Filed under: uncultured bacterium
Lineage: Bacteria
Description: partial 16S ribosomal RNA
Rfam family: Bacterial small subunit ribosomal RNA
Source: RNAcentral
UACAGAGGUCUCAAGCGUUGUUCGGAUUCAUUGGGCGUAAAGGGUGCGUAGGCGGCGCGGUAAGUCGGGUGUGAAAUCUUGGAGCUUAACUCCGAAACUGCAUUCGACACUGCCGUGCUUGAGGACUGGAGAGGAGACUGGAAUUUACGGUGUAGCGGUGAAAUGCGUAGAUAUCGUAAGGAAGACCAGUGGCGAAGGCGGGUCUCUGGACAGUUCCUGACGCUGAGGCACGAAGGCCAGGGGAGCAAACGGG